UGCCCAAGAGAUCGGGAUAACACCUGGAAACAGAUGCUAAUACCGGAUAACAACAGAUGAUGCCUAUCAACUGUUUAAAAGAUGGUUCUGCUAUCACUCUUGGAUGGACCUGCGGUGCAUUAGCUAGUUGGUAGAGUAACGGCCUACCAAGGCGAUGAUGCAUAGCCGAGUUGAGAGACUGAUCGGCCACAUUGGGACUGAUACACGGCCCAAACUCCUACGGGAGGCAGCAGGC
This 235-nucleotide ribosomal RNA is filed under the name uncultured Lactobacillus sp. RNAcentral describes it as "partial 16S ribosomal RNA". It matches the Rfam family "Bacterial small subunit ribosomal RNA", at positions 127 to 354 of the family's 1533-position model. Lineage: Bacteria; Bacillati; Bacillota; Bacilli; Lactobacillales; Lactobacillaceae. The record is from RNAcentral.